UCAAGUCUGGGGAGGAGCGUGUGCUCUUAAGAUGACUACCUUUUAAUCAGAGAUUAUCACUCUCCAUUUCCAUUAGUCUCUCUUUUUUUGGCAUGUGAUGUAUGCUAAAUUAAAUAGGAUUUAUUGGUUCAGCUAGAUUCUGAAUUACCCUCUUUUCCUGUGGAUUAGGAGAGUGCAUUUUUAGCCCUUUUCCUUGAAAUCCAUCAGGAUCUUUUAUGUGGACUAUCUAGUAUUCUGCACACUUCCAAUGCUUAAUAAAUAUUACAUUACAAUAUUAGCAUAAUAAUAAAUCAUCUUAAAGUACUACCUGGGCUAUUGAGAUCCCAUUCAGUUUGAGCCAAGACAUCAAAAAGUUUUAUUUUCUCUAUAUGCAUGCAAAAUAAUUUAAAACUCCCUUUCCAUGAAAUGUCCUUGCAUCCAUAAGUCUACAUGUUACAAAGUGAAGUGGUGAAGUGUGUACCUUCCAGUUACACAUUUCACUUGUUCAAUAUAUUCUGGGGACUGAAUUUGCCAUUUUAAUAAGAGAGAGUUUAAAAUUGGGCAGACAAAAAUGGAAAUAGCACCAUUUGUCAAGUAAAUGUUCUUUUCCCAAUGGCAAUUCUGAAAUUUUUAUACAAGAUUACCAGGCCAGCAGCUAGAUAGUGUUUCUUGCCAUUAAGAAGUUCUGCUUUGUCUAUGAUUGGUUAUGUCACACAGACCUAGAGUAACAGCCACUGAAAACAUGAGGAUUUUCCUUACAGUUACAGAAACAAAAAUGAAGUAGAAAAUGAUUCCGUUAACACAAUACUAUCCUCACUGGUUGCUUUAAGGACGGUCCUAGUUUGAAACUGCCAUCAAGGAAAAGAAUAAAAAUAUUUCCCUUCCAAAGAUAGUGUUCAAAUAUUGUACAUUUUAUCCACCUAUAUAUAAAUCAAAUGGUAUAAAAAUGAUGCAUCAUCUGUGGUAGAUAGCAAAAUGGCCCAGAUCACCUCCUUACAGUGUAAUUUUGCAAUUAGUCCUCCUCCCCAUCAAUAGAUAAGAGUUUUGUUUUGUUUUGUUUUGUUUUUUACCCUUUACACCUGAACUGAUGUUGUGACUUGCUUUGGCUAACAGAAUGUGGCAAAAGCAAUGCUGUACCAAUUUUGAGCCCUACCUCAUGCAGUCUUCAAGCAUUCCUGUAAGAAGGCUGUCCAGUUGCCAUGCAGACAAGCCUAAGCUAGCAUUCUGGUUAAUGAGAGGCAUGUAGCCUAGUCACUCCCAGUGUCCAAUCCAAUCCCCAGAAACAGGGCUACCUUGAUGACUGGCAGCUGCCUGCAGAUGCCUAUAGAUGUAUGAAGAAGCCCAGUUGAGACUAGAAGAACUGUGCACCAAAGCCCAGCCUAAACUGCCAAUGGUUCUUGUAAGUCCCCACAUUUUGAGGUGUUUGUUAUACAGCAACAAAUAACAGAUACAUCUUUUUCUUACAUUAUUGGAAAUAAAAAUUUGAAUAUUAUUUAGCUCAAAUGUUGUUAUUUUUCACAACCUUUUCAUUACUGAAUUACUUUGUGUUAAAUUUGUAAUUGG
RNAcentral lists this long non-coding RNA (1542 nucleotides) under Homo sapiens (human). Its description in RNAcentral is "HSALNT0092580". The record is from RNAcentral. Lineage: Eukaryota; Metazoa; Chordata; Mammalia; Primates; Hominidae.